RNAcentral lists this long non-coding RNA (442 nucleotides) under Cicer arietinum (chickpea). RNAcentral's name for it is "long non-coding RNA (CARI_LNC001266)". Lineage: Eukaryota; Viridiplantae; Streptophyta; Magnoliopsida; Fabales; Fabaceae. The record is from RNAcentral.
CCAACAAGAAGCCUAUUAAACACAAGGAAAAGAGGCGUACAAACAAAGAUUUAUUAAACAAAAAUUAGUUACAACAAUAAUGACUUAUCUACCAACUAUGUUGGUACUCUAAAGCCGUCAAUUAUCAUUUGCAACAUCUUAAUAAACAUUAAUUGCCUUGCUUAUAGAGAUAGUUAUGUCUUCAAAUAUGAUCUGAUUUCUACACUUUCAAAUCAUCCAAAUGAUAUUGGUGAUGAAAGAAAUGAUAAGAUCUUGGACUUGUUUGCUCCAAUUUGCAUUAUAGAUUUUAAGAAGAACAUGGAUGUAAUCAAGGACAUGUUGCACCUGCAAACAUCAACAAAGCAACACCACAAAGUACCUGCAAAGUUGCUCUCAAACAUGACAUAAAAAACUUUGUUGCCACAAUAUUAUGAUAAAGUUGUCUCCAUAACAACAAUAUUUU